GCCCUUAUAGCUCAGUGGUAGAGCGCAUCACUAGUACAACUACUUAGGUAAACAGUGCACAUGAUGAGGUCCUCUGUUCGAUCCAGGGUGAGGGCA
RNAcentral lists this transfer RNA (96 nucleotides) under Rhizoctonia solani. RNAcentral describes it as "tRNA-Thr". It matches the Rfam family "tRNA". From Rfam's summary of the family: Transfer RNA (tRNA) molecules are approximately 80 nucleotides in length. Lineage: Eukaryota; Fungi; Basidiomycota; Agaricomycetes; Cantharellales; Ceratobasidiaceae. The record is from RNAcentral.